Long non-coding RNA from Xenia sp. Carnegie-2017, 178 nucleotides. RefSeq lists it as uncharacterized. The transcript is spliced from 3 exons. NCBI's taxonomy places the organism in Eukaryota, Metazoa, Cnidaria, Anthozoa, Malacalcyonacea, Xeniidae. The record is from RefSeq and is a predicted model, not a curated record.
AAAGAGCCAAAACUUCAAGAUAAUGUUACCUGUUGACCUGGAGGAUGAUAUCGUGCCCAAAUAUCUGGAAGACGAGGACGAACAAGAUGGUCAGCAAUCGUCAAAGGUUUGAAUGAAACAGAGGAGGAAAUGCCUCAAGAAACAGUUGAAGAAACAAAAGAACAAGACAGCAUCAGUU